CCCUCCCCUCCCUCCGCUCCUCGGCCGGCGGCGUGGGCAGGGCGCUGGGCUGGCUGCGAGCUUCGGGGCUGCUCUGCGACCCUGCCCGUGCGAGGAGCCGCGUGAGGAGGCGUACUCAGCAGUUCAGCCCUUCGCUGCGUCAUCGAUCUCAGCAGCUCUCUGGCACUGCCUGCAUGCAGUACCUGCUCCUGUUUCCCAGGCAGGUUCUAAUGUUCUGAGAACCAUCACGUUACUGUCAAAACGUGAUUUCCCGGAGACUUUUUGACUAACGUGGCAGGAAUUUCAGCUGGAGAGGAAGGCAGACAGAUGGUUCUGAAUGCCCCAUGGCUGCAGCUACAUCAGUUCAUUCAUUUCUUGCCUAUUGUCACUUGGAAGCAUUCUUCAGGUAAGAAAGCUACUUCAAAGUACUCCAUGUGGUUUAUAAGCUUACACUCAACUAAACUUGUGCAUAAAAUGUUUAAAUUGCGUUCAGUGUUUUGUUCUCUCAGUUGUCAUUUGUGUUCUGUUCACACAUGUCAUUAUGAAUCUACCUUUUGUGUUAGACACUGAAAGCACUUCUGCAAAUGAAUGUGAUUUGUAUGUGCCAUGCAGAGUUGGGAGGCACGUGGCUAGCUGUUAGAAGACACGUGCUUAGCAGAGUACAUGCAGUACCUGUAGAUUCUAUGUGCAAUACAAGGCCACCAUAAAUUACAAAAUUCUCCAGGUGUGCCAUCUGCACACACUUCUGUAAAUGUAGAUCAACUCUAAUUACAAACAUGAUUAUACUGGCCUUGAAUUUUCCUAUGUGUGUGAGCUGAAAACAUUAUUUGCAAGAUGUUUAGCGUUUGAGUUUGGUUUUUGCUUAAAAGAUAGGGGCUGCUUCUCUUGUCGUGUUCGUAUCUAGAACAUGUACUGUGUCUGUUUUAAACUGUAAGGCUGAUAUUAACUGUGUAGUUUUUAAAAGAUGCCGUUAUGACUUGUGACUCAGGAGAAUCUAAAGCUUGAUGUCUCUGUUUUUUUUUUAAAUAAUAAUUAGAAAGUUUAGCAUUAAAAAUCUACAAGAAAUCUUAUUUUUGGCUGAAGACACAACUUUAAAAGCAUCCUAUAGUUGUAAUGUUGUUCAGUUUUUAAAUCUGUGUUUUCAUUUCAAACCUAUCAUAGUUUAAACAGGUGGGUGUAGCUGUUCCUAUAACUUUCCAUUGAAAUUUCUUCAAAUACUGUCCAAUGGAUAACUAAUUUUGAAGAUUUUGGGAUACCUUCUUACAGCAGGCCAAGAUACUCUUUCAUACUAUUAUUCAGAGUAUCUUUUUCAUAUUUGUAGAUGGGAGCAUAUUCAUACAUCAUCAGUGUAUUUUUUUCAUAU
This is a long non-coding RNA of Gallus gallus (chicken), 1342 nucleotides long. The record is from Ensembl. NCBI's taxonomy places the organism in Eukaryota, Metazoa, Chordata, Aves, Galliformes, Phasianidae.